GGCAGAUCGGGGGCAGUGGCGGGAGUAAGACAGAGGUUGCAAAGGUUAAACGGAAUUACGUGGCGUGAAGAGGGGGUAGGUGGUUUGUUAAGGUGAAGGUGAAAUCCCCGUGCUUAACCGGGGAACUGAAUCCAAAACUGGCAAGCUAGAGUAUGGUAGAGGGGAGUGGAAGUUCCUGUGUAGCGGUGAAAUGCGUAGAUAUAGGAAGGAACACCAGUGGCGAAGGCGACCACCUGGACUGAUACUGACACUGAGGUGCGAAAGCGUGGGGAGCAAACAGGAUUAGAUACCCUUGUAGUC
Molecule: ribosomal RNA, 300 nt
Filed under: uncultured Persephonella sp.
Lineage: Bacteria; Pseudomonadati; Aquificota; Aquificia; Aquificales; Hydrogenothermaceae
Description: bacterial SSU rRNA
Rfam family: Bacterial small subunit ribosomal RNA
Source: RNAcentral